AUUGAACGCUGGCGGAAUGCUUUACACAUGCAAGUCGAACGGUAGAGGGGGCAACCCCUCGAGAGUGGCGAACGGGUGAGUAAUAUAUCGGAACGUGCCCAGUCGUGGGGGAUAACGUAGCGAAAGUUACGCUAAUACCGCAUACGAUCUAAGGAUGAAAGCGGGGGAUCGCAAGACCUCGCGCGAUUGGAGCGGCCGAUAUCAGAUUAGGUAGUUGGUGGGGUAAAGGCCCACCAAGCCAACGAUCUGUAGCUGGUAUGAGAGGACGAGCGGCCACACUGGAACUGAGACACGGUCCAGACUCCUACGGGAGGCAGCAGUGGGGAAUUUUGGACAAUGGGCGAAAGCCUGAUCCAGCCAUUCCGCGUGCAGGAUGAAGGCCCUCGGGUUGUAAACUGCUUUUGUACGGAGCGAAAAGGCUCUCUCUAAUACAGGGGGCUCAUGACGGUACCGUAAGAAUAAGCACCGGCUAACUACGUGCCAGCCGCCGCAGUAA
RNAcentral lists this ribosomal RNA (496 nucleotides) under uncultured bacterium. Its description in RNAcentral is "partial 16S ribosomal RNA". It matches the Rfam family "Bacterial small subunit ribosomal RNA", at positions 30 to 523 of the family's 1533-position model. The record is from RNAcentral.